This 80-nucleotide microRNA precursor is filed under the name Scleropages formosus (Asian bonytongue). RNAcentral's name for it is "mir-499 microRNA precursor family". It matches the Rfam family "mir-499 microRNA precursor family". Lineage: Eukaryota; Metazoa; Chordata; Actinopteri; Osteoglossiformes; Osteoglossidae. The record is from Rfam by way of RNAcentral.
GAGGAGGAGGUGGUUAAGACUUGCAGUGAUGUUUAGGAAAGUUAUCACAUGAACAUCACUUUAAGUCUGUGCUACCUUCU